GUGUAGCGGUGAAAUGCAUAGAUAUCAUACAGAACACCAAUAGCGAAGGCAGGAUGCUAAAUCUUCACUGACGCUGAGGCACGAAAGCGUGGGUAGCAAACAGGAUUAGAUACCCUGGUAGUCCACGCCCUAAACUAUGAUCACUAGCUAUUGGAAAAAUUAUAUUCAGUGGCCAAGCUAAAGCGAUAAGUGAUCCACCUGGGAAGUACGAUCGCAAGAUUGAAACUCAAAGGAAUUGACGGGGUUUCGCACAAGCGGUGGAGCAUGUGGUUUAAUUCGAUGAUACGCGAGGAACCUUACCAAGGUUUAAAUGUAUUACGAAUAAGCUGGAAACAACUUAGUCUAUAAGACGUAAUACAAGGUGCUGCAUGGUUGUCUUCAGUUCGUGCUGUGAAGUGUUUGGUUAAGUCCUAUAACGAGCGCAACCCUUAUUGUUAGUUGCCAUCGGGUAAAGCCGGGGACUCUAACAAAACUGCCGGUGUAAAUCGAGAGGAAGGUGGGGAUAAUGUCAAAUCAUCAUGGCCUUUAUGCCUUGGGCUACACACGUGCUACAAUGGCUGGUACAAAGGGCAGCCACUGGGUGACCAGGAGCUAAUCUCUAAAACCAGUCUAAGUUCUGAUUGAAGUCUGCAAUUCGACUUUAUGAAGAUGGAAUCGCUAGUAA
Molecule: ribosomal RNA, 664 nt
Filed under: Candidatus Uzinura diaspidicola
Lineage: Bacteria; Pseudomonadati; Bacteroidota; Flavobacteriia; Flavobacteriales
Description: bacterial SSU rRNA
Rfam family: Bacterial small subunit ribosomal RNA
Source: RNAcentral